AAAGACUUCUCGAUUUGGGGGUAUUUUCGAUUUGGUUUUUUUCUUUUAGAUUUUUGGUUUACGGGCUAAUGGGUUGAUUUUUGGGUUAAUCCGGUUUAGUUUUGUUGUUACAAUGGUUAAUGGUGAUUUCGGCACAGUAAACCAAAUAUAAACCACCAAAAUCGAAAUAAUGGGGAUUAAGCAUUCGAAUUUUCAAUUUAGGGGGAAACUGGAGUUUAACUUCAAGUUUGUGUGGAUUGAAGUCGAGAUCCGAAUUUGGUGUAAUUACGGUAUUAUACGAAACUUUCUGUGGGGACACAGGUCGUUCAACGACGGUCCAUACUAUUCAGUUCAAGUUUAUUUGUUCGUCUUUAUUAAUGACUGACUUAAGUGCCAUUUAAGUUUGUUAUAAUCAUUUACUCGUAUGUAAUU
Molecule: small RNA, 411 nt
Filed under: Arabidopsis thaliana (thale cress)
Lineage: Eukaryota; Viridiplantae; Streptophyta; Magnoliopsida; Brassicales; Brassicaceae
Description: ATSL242640
Source: RNAcentral